UGGGGAAUAUUGCACAAUGGGCGCAAGCCUGAUGCAGCAACGCCGCGUGAACGAUGAAGGUCUUCGGAUCGUAAAGUUCUGUUGCAGGGGAAGAUAAUGACGGUACCCUGUGAGGAAGCCCCGGCUAACUACGUGCCAGCAGCCGCGGUAAUACGUAGGGGGCUAGCGUUAUCCGGAUUUACUGGGGGUAAAGGGUGCGUAGGUGGUCUUUCAAGUCGGUGGUUAAAGGCUACGGCUCAACCGUAGUUAGCCUCCGAAACUGGAAGACUUGAGUGCAGGAGAGGAAAGUGGAAUUCCCAGUGUAGCGGUGAAAUGCGUAGAUAUUGGGAGGAACACCAGUAGCGAAGGCGGCUUUCUGGACUGCAACUGACACGGAGGCACGAAAGCGUGGGUAGCAAACAGG
This 403-nucleotide ribosomal RNA is filed under the name Verrucomicrobiota bacterium. RNAcentral's name for it is "Verrucomicrobia bacterium partial 16S ribosomal RNA". It matches the Rfam family "Bacterial small subunit ribosomal RNA", at positions 355 to 776 of the family's 1533-position model. Lineage: Bacteria; Pseudomonadati; Verrucomicrobiota. The record is from RNAcentral.